AUGAAAUGAAUGUUGAGAGGGGUUGUAGCUGGCCUUUCCAGGCAUGUGCACACCUUGAUCACACAUCCACCUCUUACACCUGUGCACUAUGUGUAGCUUGGGGAUGAUUACAAUGUCGGAAACGAUGUUGAAAGCCCUAGCUAUGUAUUUUUAUAUACCCAUAUAUAAAGUUAUAGAAUGGAUAAUGUUAUAGCGUGUAAUAGCGCAAAUAUAUA
RNAcentral lists this unclassified non-coding RNA (215 nucleotides) under uncultured Pseudotomentella. RNAcentral's name for it is "sequence contains ITS1". The record is from RNAcentral. Lineage: Eukaryota; Fungi; Basidiomycota; Agaricomycetes; Thelephorales; Thelephoraceae.